RNAcentral lists this ribosomal RNA (253 nucleotides) under uncultured bacterium. Its description in RNAcentral is "partial 16S ribosomal RNA". It matches the Rfam family "Bacterial small subunit ribosomal RNA", at positions 524 to 776 of the family's 1533-position model. The record is from RNAcentral.
UACAGAGGGUGCGAGCGUUGUCCGGAAUCACUGGGCGUAAAGGGUGCGUAGGCGGCGCGGUAAGUCGGGUGUGAAAUCUCGGAGCUUAACUCCGAAACUGCAUUCGAUACUGCCGUGCUUGAGGACUGGAGAGGAGACUGGAAUUUACGGUGUAGCGGUGAAAUGCGUAGAUAUCAGGAGGAAUACCGGUGGUGUAGACGGCUCUCUGGACCGCAACUGACGCUGAAACACGAAAGCGUGGGUAGCAAACAGG